GGGGCUUCCCUUUCGCAGUCAGAAGUCGAGAAAGAAAAGGUUUAUUUUUUUGACCUUCAUCUGAUAUUGAGAAGUGUGGUUGCAGUACAAGUGGGACUUCUUCCAGAGCCGCAGGUGGGCGAGUGUGAAGGUCAAGGGUUAGGAAAAAUGGGAAGACUUUGUCCUGGGAGAUUCCCGGUGCUUUGUGGAACCCGGGGAAACACUGCAUGCUUUCCGUUGUUUCUGUGUGGACGGCCUUGGUAUGAGGACAUUUUUCAGAGAGAGAAGCAAGGAAUCUCGGAGCCCAGGCAUUCUUGGCAUCCGUAGAUCUUGAAUGUAAGCUCUUGGCUGUCAGUUAGCCAGUCUUUUCUCGUGAUCCUGUAACAAUAGUACAGAAUGGGGAAGUGCUGGUGUCCAACGAGCAGAGGAUACCUGUCUGAUGGAGGGUCCUCUCGCCUGCUUGCUUGCUUUUUGUAACCUGGUACUUCCUCCUGCCCUCCCUCCUAUGCUGUUUCAACGUGUGGGCCCCGCCCCUUCCGGGAGCAGCUGGAGCCCGGUUAGGCUGCAGUAAGCACCUUGCAGUGGUUGAAGUCAGCCGGUCCUGGGUGUCUGUCCCAGCUUGUUUGUGUGGACUCCGGCCUGGCGGGUGGCUCGUCCCGGGGAGGGCGGGCAGCGCGCAGAGCUUCUGCAGAACUCCUGUGUUUACACAGCCGCGUCGGGCAAUGCCAUCUCCCCCACGACACUCUCGGGGCAGCACCCAGCUAUUUCGGCGGUGGGUUGGGGGAGGCCCAAGUUCAUAACUUUAUUAUUAUUAUUAUUAUUAUUAUUAUUUUUUACAAAGAAACACCAAAGAAAGCUGUGGAAAGGAACUGGCUGCCACCCCCAAAAAGCCUAAGCAGAGAGGGCUGUACCAUAAGGUGUUAAUUACCACUCCCUUGGAGCACAAACAUUGGUUUUUCAAAAGCCAGCUAUCAGGAGAGGGGGAGCUAUUAGGAGCAGCGUUGCAGGUGAGCCAAAAGGCUGCCCGUCCGUUUCUCCCGUUGCUGGCUCAUCUGUGGGACCACUUUGGUGUGUAAGCAACCUGUGGCCUGCAUCCGGGCCUUGAAGGAAGCACAACUUUGCCAUCUUUUCCUCUGCCCUGUUGUACACCCCUCUCCCCCUCUAUUCCGCUGGCUUACCAGUGGCUCCCAUAAAGCCUUAUCUAGCCCCUUGUCGGCACUGGGGGCCCGAGAGGCUGUCUCCCCGCUAGUCUGGCCUUUCCUGGAGUUAGGGCUCCUGUCCUCAAAGCCUUUCUGGACCAAGGAGGCGAAUACCUGUGCAUUUAGACACAUAGGUUCGACCUGUCACUCUCACCCAUCUUCCAAAGGGGAGCUUCACGUUGCCAGGGGGGGAAGAACCAUGACCUCCACUUAUUUCUAAGGUGCUAGGGAAAGGUUCCAAGGUCGUCGGUCCCCAUCUUCCCUCCAGCUUCACGGGCCGAGUUUCGUGGGACUGCUGACUUUUCUAUCCUGUGAUUGAUUUACUGCCCGAUGCUUCUGUUUCAUUCCUGAUCCUUUCUACUAUGCAUUUUCCUUUUAUCAGGUGUACAAAGUUAAAUACUGUGUAUUUAUCACUUAAAAAGACAUGAACUUGAGAAAAAAAAUAAGCCUUUGGUGUUUUUCCACAGAUGUUUAAGCUUCUCUGUAAACUUGAAAUAAACAAGACAGCCAAAAUGGUGCAAA
Long non-coding RNA from Myotis lucifugus (little brown bat), 1700 nucleotides. RefSeq lists it as uncharacterized. Lineage: Eukaryota; Metazoa; Chordata; Mammalia; Chiroptera; Vespertilionidae. The record is from RefSeq and is a predicted model, not a curated record. The transcript has 2 exons.